This 363-nucleotide ribosomal RNA is filed under the name uncultured Campylobacter sp. RNAcentral describes it as "bacterial SSU rRNA". It matches the Rfam family "Bacterial small subunit ribosomal RNA", at positions 534 to 896 of the family's 1533-position model. Lineage: Bacteria; Pseudomonadati; Campylobacterota; Epsilonproteobacteria; Campylobacterales; Campylobacteraceae. The record is from RNAcentral.
GCAAGCGUUACUCGGAAUCACUGGGCGUAAAGGACGCGUAGGCGGAUUAUCAAGUCUCUUGUGAAAUCUAACGGCUUAACCGUUAAACUGCUUGGGAAACUGAUAAUCUAGAGUAAGGGAGAGGCAGAUGGAAUUCUUGGUGUAGGGGUAAAAUCCGUAGAUAUCAAGAAGAAUACCUAUUGCGAAGGCGAUCUGCUGGAACUUAACUGACGCUAAUGCGUGAAAGCGUGGGGAGCAAACAGGAUUAGAUACCCUGGUAGUCCACSCCCUAAACGAUGUAUACCGGUUGUUGCUGUGCUAGUCACGGCAGUAAUCCACCUAACGGAUUAAGUAUACCGCCUGGGGAGUACGGUCGCAAGAUUA